Non-coding RNA from Paramuricea clavata, 2045 nucleotides. Lineage: Eukaryota; Metazoa; Cnidaria; Anthozoa; Malacalcyonacea; Plexauridae. The record is from the annotation of a GenBank genome assembly.
UAUUAACAAGAUGUUUUUUUCUUAUGUUAUUUAGAUAUACAUAUAAGCUGUGUCCAUUUGACAAGGCAUCACAGACCUCAAAAAAUGGCGGUUCUGAUGUGUCACUUGGGUGAGUAACUAUUCAACGCUUUAAUGUAUUCCACGCGAUAGAUUAAUUUUAAGAACGACUUGAACGAAGCCUCCGAAAAACGAGUCACCACAAAAAUUGGAUUAACAUAAAAAAUGUUGCAGUAAUACUUUGAUUUCCUCUAUUGCCACAAUACUUGUGAACUAUAAAUACACUAAUGAACUAUUAAGACGAAUUCUUGACUAUUAAUUCCAAAGUGUUAUUGUCAAUGCGUUAUUGUCAACGUGGUCUUCAAAGCGUUAUUGUCAACGUUCAAGCAGGGGUGGAAAAAUCUUUUACUUUCUGGGAUGGCAAGAACUUCAUUGGAAAAUUUUCUGUGAAUAAUCAAGUAAAUCGACACUUGGACCCUGUAACUGUGAAACACUAACAAGUUGUCAAACUGAAUGUUAUGCUACAUUCUAAUAGAAAAAAUAAUUUCAGUGCACCGAGAAUCUUAAGACCUUUAGGAAUAUACCAUAAAACUAAUUUACAUAACAUGCAUCGGGAGUCAGAUCCUAUAACGUAAAUUUGCAGAUGCCAAAAAGCAGGGCUGCAUAAUAUAGCGGACCGCGGGACCAUUGGUCCCAGAAAAUUUUUGAGGUUGGCAGAAAAAAAUGGAGGGUGAAACUGAAAAGUCUGAAAAGAAAAAAGUAAAGAGAAAGAAAGAAAGGAAGAAAAUGAGAAAAAAUGACCUAAUUGAAUAAUAAGCUGUAAGUAGUGAACUAGUGAUGUUUGCAACAUGCAAGUAAUACAAGUUUCCAAUAUACCGGUACAGGCGGCUCUCACAGCCUGAUAUUAUGGUCAAAGACAGGCAGACAGCAGAUAUUAAGACGAAAUCCUCUAUGUGGUUGUUAAUAUGUAAUAUUUCAAAUCUGACUAUGAGGACUAGACUAGAUUUCAAGCCCGCGCAAUUUGAUCAAGUCCGAGGCGAAGCCGAGGACUGGAUCAAAAUGCAAGGACUUGAAAUCUAGUCCAGUCCGAAUUGGAGGAUUUGAAAUGACAUCUCAUACGAAUAAAUCACUACUUAAUUAGUUUGGAUCCAGUCCAUGCAAGGACUGAAUUAAUUUUGAUCCAGUCCUAGGACUGGAUCAAUGUACUUCAUCAGGUAGCCAGUAUUAUCAUUUGAGCAAAAUAAAGCAACAUGGUUGGCUAAUUUACUCAUGAAUUAUUAAUGAGUUUGAGAUAAUUGUUUCAUCUAGUUAGUGUAUUAGCUACUGCUGAAAAUACCACUCCAGUUAUAUAUGAAGACAACUCAUUUAACAACUACAGUAUGUGGAUUAAAAAGUCUGAGUGUAGUGAUUUCUUACAAUGUAGUAAAAUGUAGUAAAAAUCUAAGCAAUAUGUUCCAGUACACAACAGCCUUCCGCCCUUCUCAUGAACUUUCAUCCAUUAAUUAAGAUGAUAUUCAUAACAAAUAUAUUAAAAUUAUAAGAAUCUAGAAUCUUAAACUGCAGACAGUUCCCAGUGGUCACUUUCAAAUAUAAAUGUUUGUUGUUAAAUUAAAAUAUAAAGUAUAUUUAUUCCGUAGCCACGUUGAAAUACGUCUACUCUGCUGGCAGUGGUUUCGGAGCUGAGGAGAAACCACUGUGAGCAAACAAACGACUUUCUAUUGAGCAUGCACGAAGAUCACAGGGUGGGACAACACUAAUUUGACUUCAUUUGCUGUAGUUUAACAGUUUGUUAUCUGUAUGCAAACAAGUGUGGCAUAGUACUGUUUUCUUUGUUGUCUGUCUGACUUUUUAUUCUACAUGCAGUUCACAAUUUACUUCUAAAAGAUUUUGAAAUCGGUGCCUCACCCUACACCUACAAAUUGUGCAUUUGAAUUUCUGUUAUAUCUUUUCAAAUUUUUGUAUUUAUAUGAUCAAUUUUUUUAAUUUGGUCUGCAAACUUUAUUUGUGUUACUUAAACGUUGGAAAUUGUGUUAAGGUUUUCGAUAAAU